Molecule: RNA transcript, 2149 nt
Organism: Carassius gibelio (silver crucian carp)
Lineage: Eukaryota; Metazoa; Chordata; Actinopteri; Cypriniformes; Cyprinidae
Gene name: UDP-glucuronosyltransferase 2A1
Exons: 7
Source: RefSeq, a predicted model, not a curated record
CAGUAUAUGCACCUUUAACUAUGAUCUGCAACCCGCUAUGAACAAGGAGAUGAAAUGCAAGUGAUUUACAGUCAGUUUGACAAGUUAUUACUCUGGUGCGAAGCGUCGUGAGGUGUAGUUAGAAAGGUGGAUUGAGGACAAAGCAAUAAUGCAACGUGACCUUUGCCCAAAUCCUGUUGUGCACAUAGACUAUACACUCUGAUCCUCGUUUCCCAGAUGCCCUUUCAGAAGCAGAAACAUUUGACCAUGAUUUCUGGGACUUUAUUUGUGCUUGUACUGCUGUGUGGAGUAGAAGCUGGCAAGGUUUUGGUGUUGCCAGGCGAGUACAGUCACUUGCACAACAUGCGUGCGAUCAUUGACGCGCUGGUCGAUCGUAACCACAGUGUGACUGUUCUGGUCAGUUCUUCAUCACCUACUGUACCGCACACACGGAAGGAGCGGUUCGAUUUUAUCGUGUAUAAAGUCAACAUAGAGAAAGAACAGGCUGAUUCUGUGUUGAGAGAUAUGAUUCAUCUCGGGACAAAUGACACAGCCACCAAAUACAAGGGAGACUUCCUGGUCUGGAGAGUUUUUUCCAACUUUAUGGCGUUCCUUACGGAUAUAUCCAAGGGCAUGUUUCAUGAGGAUCUUUUACACACGCUUCGGGAAUCUCAUUAUGAUGUGCUUUUAUCUGAUCCGAUGAUGCUAUUCCCUGACUUGAUGGCACAGAAGCUGAAUAUCCCACACGUCCUGUCGAUGCGCGGAACGUUCGCGUACAUCGCCGAGCGGCUUUGUGGUCAGAUGCCUGCGCCGCCAUCCUACGUUCCUGCGGUCGCUUUGCAAGAUCACCUCACCGAUCAUAUGAGCUUCACAGAGAGAGUUGAAAACAUGCUCCUCUAUGUCAUACAUACGAUUAUAUUUCCAUUGAGCAUGAAGUUUACUAUAGAUAAACUCUACACUGAAAUAUUGGGCACACCCACAACAAUGUGUGAGACCGCUGGAAAAGCCGACAUCUGGUUGAUUAGAACUUACUGGGAUUUCGAGUAUCCACGUCCACUACUGCCGAAUUUUAAAUUUGUUGGAGGACUACACUGCAAACCAGCCAAGCCUCUGUCAAAAGACCUGGAGGAGUUUGUUCAGAGCUCAGGAGAUCAUGGCAUCGUUGUCUUCUCACUGGGUUCCAUGUUGGGCAACCUGACAUUGGAAAGAGCAAACACUAUCGCUUCUGCUCUUGGUAAAAUCCCACAAAAGGUUGUUUGGCGUUAUAAUGGGAAAACACCAGAAACUCUCGCCCCCAACACAAAACUCUAUGACUGGAUCCCACAGAAUGAUUUGCUUGGUCAUCCAAAAACAAAGGCCUUCAUAACCCACGGUGGGACAAAUGGACUGUAUGAGGCUAUUUAUCAUGGUGUCCCAAUGGUGGGCUUGCCACUGUGGGGUGACCAGCCCGAUAACCUAAUGCACAUGAAAACCAAAGGAGCUGCUGUUGUUCUUGAUAUCGACUCAAUGCAGUCCAAAGACCUGGUAGAUGCUCUCAAGACUGUCAUAAAUAAUCCAUCGAUCUGUAACUCGGAGAUCCGGCAGUGCGAGUGGUCCGCAGUGUGCUGGCCAGCUCGGAGAUCUGUGUGCGCCAGAGCUUUUCGUUAUUGUUUAUGUUAUUUUGUGUUUUGUGGUGAGAAUAAAGAUUCUCCUUUUCUAACUCUGCAUCUGAGUCCUCUGUCCAGUACACACCCCGUGACAGGGAGAGGGACUCCAAAGGUUGUGACUUCCAGUCUCGGUCCGGCAGGGAUUGUAUGUUUCUGAAUAAACUGUUAGAAAGAGACUCCAUGUAUUGAGACAUGCUCACAACACAGCACUGUGCAUCUCGAUUGGCAUUUGCCAGAGAACACCAGAAUUGGCAGGUCCACCGUUGGAGCCACAUUCACUUCACGGAUGAGAGGAGGUUCAUACUGAGCACAUAUGAGAGCAAUGUCCCUGGAGGGUCACAAGACCUCCAUGUGCUAGCUUACAUUAACCUCACUGCUGUUAGGUACUGGGAUGAAACUCACAGAGCCAUUGUCAGAUAACAUUAGUGCAGUGGGCAAUGAAUUCCUCCAGUAGGCAGUUUCUGGAUGUCAAAGUCAAUGAUGCUGUUGACGUCCUCAUGUUCCUACUAAACUGACAUUUAGAA